Molecule: ribosomal RNA, 407 nt
Filed under: uncultured bacterium
Lineage: Bacteria
Description: partial 16S ribosomal RNA
Rfam family: Bacterial small subunit ribosomal RNA
Source: RNAcentral
AUUGAACGCUGGCGGCAGGCCUAACACAUGCAAGUCGAGCGGAGCGGCGGACGGGUGAGUAAUGCCUAGGAAUCUGCCUGGUCGUGGGGGAUAACGUCCGGAAACGGGCGCUAAUACCGCAUACUAUCAGAUGAGCCUUGUCCGGAUUAGCUAGCUGGUGGGGUAAAGGCCUACCAAGGCGACGAUCCGUAACUGGUCUGAGAGGAUGAUCAGUCACACUGGAACUGAGACACGGUCCAGACGCCGACGGGAGGCAGCAGGGGGGAAUAUUGGACAAUGGGCGCAAGCCUGAGGCAGCCAUGCCGCGUGUAGGAAGAAGGCAUUAGGGUUGUAAAGUACUUUCAGCGGGGAGGCGUUACCCGCAGAAGAAGCACCGGCUAACUCCGUGCCAGCAGCCGCGGUAAUAC